GUGUCUUGAUACCUACUAGUAUCUGCUGAAGCUGAUCCAAGAUCAGAAAGGUCAACAUGAUCUAAUGUCUUUUGCUGGAGCUACUUUCUGGCCAAAAGAAGCACCACAAAAUCUGGAGUUUCCUGCAGGAGCCUAAAUGGAUGAAGGACUCGCCCUGGGAGUGUAAAUCUGAGUGUAGACUUACAUGUCCAGUGGGAUUGGAGUGAUCUUUCUGUGGUCAAAGCAAUGUACUUAAACAGACUGGCAACUCACCCUGAGCUCAUUUCUUGGCUUUUGAUGGAGGACAGAAAUCAUUAUCAUAUAAAUAUUUAAAUUGCCUUAGAGCAAUGGAAGUAGUGCUACUUGCAGGACCAAAAAUCAAAGGACUUUUUGUCUGCCAAUUGAGUUAACCUGGCUGUACAUGUGAGGUUUUGCAGCCCAUGAAUCCAAGUGCAUAAAAUAGACAGAAU
RNAcentral lists this long non-coding RNA (449 nucleotides) under Cyanistes caeruleus (blue tit). RNAcentral describes it as "lncRNA (ENSCCEG00000010062.1)". The record is from RNAcentral. Lineage: Eukaryota; Metazoa; Chordata; Aves; Passeriformes; Paridae.